GCGAUCCCAGGUCAGGCGGGGCUACCCGCUGAGUUUAAGCAUAUCAAUAAGCGGAGGAAAAGAAACUAACGAGGAUUCCCUUAGUAGCGGCGAGCGAACCGGGAAGAGCCCAGCGUGAAAAUCGUCCGUCAUCGGCGGCCGAAUUGUAGUCUGGAGAAGCGUCCUCAGUGACGGACCGGACCCAAGUUCACUGGAAGGUGGCGCCGGAGAGGGUGAGAGCCCCGUCGUGUCCGGACCCUGUCGCACCC
Molecule: ribosomal RNA, 248 nt
Filed under: Miconia aponeura
Lineage: Eukaryota; Viridiplantae; Streptophyta; Magnoliopsida; Myrtales; Melastomataceae
Description: partial 28S ribosomal RNA
Rfam family: Eukaryotic large subunit ribosomal RNA
Source: RNAcentral